GAGUUUGAUCAUGGCUCAGGAUGAACGCUAGCGGCAGGCUUAACACAUGCAAGUCGAGGGGUAACAGGGAUUGCUUGCAAUCCGCUGACGACCGGCGAACGGGUGCGUAACGCGUAUGCAACCUACCUUUUACUGGGGGAUAGUCAAGAGAAAUUUUGAAUAAUACCCCAUACGAUCAUUUAUUUGCAUAAAUAGAUGAAGAAAACUCCGGUGGUAAAAGAUGGGCAUGCGUCCUAUUAGUUUGUUGGUGAGGUAACGGCUCACCAAGACUACGAUAGGUAGGGGUCCUGAGAGGGAGACCCCCCACACUGGUACUGAGACACGGACCAGACUCCUACGGGAGGCAGCAGUGAGGAAUAUUGGACAAUGGAGGCAACUCUGAUCCAGCCAUGCCGCGUGCAGGAAGACGGCCCUAUGGGUUGUAAACUGCUUUUAUACAGGAAGAAACGUCAGUACGUGUACUGACCUGACGGUACUGUAAGAAUAAGGAUCGGCUAACUCCGUGCCAGCAGCCGCGGUAAUACGGAGGAUCCAAGCGUUAUCCGGAAUUAUUGGGUUUAAAGGGUCCGCAGGCGGUCUGAUAAGUCAGAGGUGAAAUACUAUCGCUCAACGAUAGAACUGCCUUUGAUACUGUUAGACUUGAGUUAUUGUGAAGUAGUUAGAAUGUGUAGUGUAGCGGUGAAAUGCAUAGAUAUUACACAGAAUACCGAUUGCGAAGGCAGAUUACUAACAAUACACUGACGCUCAUGGACGAAAGCGUGGGUAGCGAACAGGAUUAGAUACCCUGGUAGUCCACGCCGUAAACGAUGGUCACUAGCUGUUUGACUAACAUUGGGUUAGUUGAGUGGCUAAGCGAAAGUGAUAA
Molecule: ribosomal RNA, 865 nt
Filed under: uncultured bacterium
Lineage: Bacteria
Description: bacterial SSU rRNA
Rfam family: Bacterial small subunit ribosomal RNA
Source: RNAcentral